GUUUUAGGUCGCACAUGUUUAUUAAUACACUUUGCCUCUCAAACAUCACAAAUUACCUGCAUUUCAAAAGGAAGAGUCUUUCCUUGGGCUUUGUGGAGACAGAAGAAAAAGAAAUUUUAAGUUGAAACCCAGCAUAGACAGGGCCUCACUCUGUGAGGUGCAACCUCAGCUCAUUGCAACCUCCACCUCCUGGGUUCAAGCCAUUCUUGUGUCCCAGCCACUCUGAAACCGCCUUUGCAAAAUUAUGACUGAGACAGUGAAAGAGAACUAACUUAAUUGACUCCAUCUUGCUUCUAACCUCCAAGCUGUCCUUGUUCAUUCCUGGGCCUAGGCUAAAUUAACUUUGGGAGAAACUUAGUUUAUAGUUUAAACAAAGAUGGUAACAGCCCUUUCCCAAAGCAGACUUCCUUCUUGCCUGGGGACUAGAUUGCCUUUGUAGGACUAACAUUAGUCACAAGAUGAGAAAUUAUGGUUUAGGAGUCAUGCAGCCGGAGGAUACAAGAUUCUGACUUUCUCUACAUUGCUCCCAAGAUCAGUGCUUGAGAUAUUUUGCAGACCCUGCACUUGAUGGAUCAGCUGGCACCACCCAGAUCAAUAAACUGGCUCAGCUGAUCUUGUGGCCCCCACCCAGGAACUGACUGAGCACAAGAGAGCUCUGACUCCCUGUGAUUUCAUCUCUGACCAAUCAGCACUCCUGGCUCACUGGCUUCCCCCCACCCACCAAGUUAUCCUCAAAAACACUGCUCCCCGAAAGCUCGGAGAGUAAUAAUAAAACUCCA
Molecule: long non-coding RNA, 779 nt
Filed under: Homo sapiens (human)
Lineage: Eukaryota; Metazoa; Chordata; Mammalia; Primates; Hominidae
Description: HSALNT0010522
Source: RNAcentral